This 1053-nucleotide small RNA is filed under the name Caenorhabditis elegans. Its description in RNAcentral is "Unclassified non-coding RNA W02B12.19". The record is from RNAcentral. Lineage: Eukaryota; Metazoa; Nematoda; Chromadorea; Rhabditida; Rhabditidae.
GCAAAUGGACACGAAACAUCCUCCGGAUCCAUCAGGUCCAUCAGAUCCCAACAUAAAUCUUGGAGAAUUCGAAGAUCCGGUGGAUGGCUAUGCCGAUGAUGACCUUCUCACACCGGAUGACCUAAGCGGUAAGUGGAAUAAUAAUUAUUGAUAUUUAAUUUAAUAGAAAACUGGUUUAUUUCAGUAAGUGUCACUGGAAUGACGCCAUCUCGAUCGUUUCUGGAAACUGAAGAAUUCGAGACAGAGCUUGGAGGUGUUGAACCGUUCGAAGAUCUUUUCAACGACAUAUCAGCUCACGAAAUUAUUCAAGUAAUUGCUGAUGGGGAUCGAGUUGGAAGGUAAAUUAAUUUGAAUCCAAAAAUUAAUUAUCUUUUUUGUUUUAAUGAAUCAUAGUUUGCAGGCCAAUUGUUGUCGUAUAUGCUUAUCGGCUCCCAUCAAGCAAGGAAAUAGAUCAUGCCAGACUUCUACAGUAUUUGGUACAAAUUAUUGAUAAGGUUGGGAAUUUUUAAUAAAUAUAAUAUUUUGAUAAAAAUAAAAUUUGCAAUUUUCCAGAUCGUUGACCAAGACUACACAAUUGUCUAUUUUCACUAUGGCCUACGAAGUCACAACAAACCACCGGUACGGUGGCUGUUCCAGGCUUACAAACAACUUGAUCGUAGGUAAGUAUUUGAAUUCAAUUCAUCUCUUCUCUUUCAAAAAAACCGGUUUCCAGAUUCAAAAAGAACCUGAAAGCGCUCUACGUAGUGCAUCCAACACGAUUCAUCCGCAUUAUCUUCUCGCUGUUCAAAGGUUUCAUAUCGAGCAAGUUUGAGAACAAGUUCCACUAUGUCAUGUGUAUAGACGAGCUGGAGAACGCACUUUCAGUGGCAAGGUUCGUUUUUUCUUUUCUUAUUUUUUAAUUUUUUAAAUUGUUAUAAAAAAGAUUAUUUUCAGAUUAAAUCUUCCAAGUCCAAUUCGAGAUCAUGAUAAAUCAUUUUCAACUCAAUCAAAUCGACCUGAAACACCACCAGCUCAACCUCUGCCAACACAACAGUUUGGAGUUCCUCUCGAGUU